UUGGAGGUGUUGUCGAGCAUAUCAAAGGUGAAAACGCACAGCUAUAGGCUCCGACCAUAUCAUCGGAAUUCAAAGGCGCUUGAGUUACAGAGAAAUGGAGUAAUCUAGCCUAAUAUUUACUAUUUCAUUGUCUUGUUUAUAAAUUCAUACACUAUUAAAUUGCAAUUUAUGUUGAUGAGAGAGAGAGAGGUUUCUUGAAUGAUUUGAUGAGAUGUGAAGGAGUAGAGAAAUGAUGAGCGCAAAGAUGGUGAG
RNAcentral lists this long non-coding RNA (252 nucleotides) under Salvia miltiorrhiza (redroot sage). Its description in RNAcentral is "long non-coding RNA (SMIL_LNC010001)". Lineage: Eukaryota; Viridiplantae; Streptophyta; Magnoliopsida; Lamiales; Lamiaceae. The record is from RNAcentral.